Molecule: long non-coding RNA, 234 nt
Filed under: Vigna radiata
Lineage: Eukaryota; Viridiplantae; Streptophyta; Magnoliopsida; Fabales; Fabaceae
Description: long non-coding RNA (VRAD_LNC014871)
Source: RNAcentral
UCACAAUUAUGAUAGCAUGAUUAACCUUCGCUUAGUCGGCUAGCUGUGCUGGAUUAGAGGCUAGAGUAGUUUAUUCAUUAGAACCUUGCAUUUUAAUUGUCAUGUUGCUGCUCUGAUUUCGCUCAAUAUUUAAUUUGUUCUAUGCUUGUAAUUAGGGAUACACUUAGUUGCCUAAUCGGUGUUUAGUCUUCGCUUAGUUGAUUAGACUGUAGGGUGCAUGACUGAUUGGAUUUG